RNAcentral lists this ribosomal RNA (98 nucleotides) under uncultured bacterium. RNAcentral describes it as "partial 16S ribosomal RNA". It matches the Rfam family "Bacterial small subunit ribosomal RNA", at positions 1384 to 1482 of the family's 1533-position model. The record is from RNAcentral.
UACACACCGCCCGUCACGCCAUGGGAGCUGGGGGGACCCGAAGCCGGUGUGCCAACCGCAAGAGGCAGCCGUCUAAGGUCAACUCAGUGACUGGGGCG